This 22-nucleotide microRNA is filed under the name Daphnia pulex (common water flea). RNAcentral describes it as "Dpu-Mir-12606_5p (mature (co-guide))". RNAcentral also lists the same sequence under 1 other name. The record is from RNAcentral. Lineage: Eukaryota; Metazoa; Arthropoda; Branchiopoda; Diplostraca; Daphniidae.
UCUUGGUUGCUCGGUCUUUAGG